RNAcentral lists this ribosomal RNA (2931 nucleotides) under Klebsiella aerogenes. Its description in RNAcentral is "bacterial LSU rRNA". It matches the Rfam family "Bacterial large subunit ribosomal RNA". The record is from RNAcentral. Lineage: Bacteria; Pseudomonadati; Pseudomonadota; Gammaproteobacteria; Enterobacterales; Enterobacteriaceae.
GGGUUGUGAGGUUAAGCGACUAAGCGUACACGGUGGAUGCCCUGGCAGUCAGAGGCGAUGAAGGACGUGCUAAUCUGCGAAAAGCGUCGGUAAGGUGAUAUGAACCGUUAUAACCGGCGAUGUCCGAAUGGGGAAACCCAGUGCAAUUCGUUGCACUAUCGUUAACUGAAUACAUAGGUUAACGAGGCGAACCGGGGGAACUGAAACAUCUAAGUACCCCGAGGAAAAGAAAUCAACCGAGAUUCCCCCAGUAGCGGCGAGCGAACGGGGAGCAGCCCAGAGUCUGAAUCAGCUUGUGUGUUAGUGGAACGGUCUGGAAAGUCCGACGGUACAGGGUGAUAGUCCCGUACACCAAAAUGCACAGGUUGUGAACUCGAAGAGUAGGGCGGGACACGUGGUAUCCUGUCUGAAUAUGGGGGGACCAUCCUCCAAGGCUAAAUACUCCUGACUGACCGAUAGUGAACCAGUACCGUGAGGGAAAGGCGAAAAGAACCCCGGCGAGGGGAGUGAAAAAGAACCUGAAACCGUGUACGUACAAGCAGUGGGAGCACCUUCGGGUGUGACUGCGUACCUUUUGUAUAAUGGGUCAGCGACUUAUAUUCUGUAGCAAGGUUAACCGUAUAGGGGAGCCGCAGGGAAACCGAGUCUUAACUGGGCGUUAAGUUGCAGGGUAUAGACCCGAAACCCGGUGAUCUAGCCAUGGGCAGGUUGAAGGUUGGGUAACACUAACUGGAGGACCGAACCGACUAAUGUUGAAAAAUUAGCGGAUGACUUGUGGCUGGGGGUGAAAGGCCAAUCAAACCGGGAGAUAGCUGGUUCUCCCCGAAAGCUAUUUAGGUAGCGCCUCGUGAACUCAUCUUCGGGGGUAGAGCACUGUUUCGGCUAGGGGGUCAUCCCGACUUACCAACCCGAUGCAAACUACGAAUACCGAAGAAUGUUAUCACGGGAGACACACGGCGGGUGCUAACGUCCGUCGUGAAGAGGGAAACAACCCAGACCGCCAGCUAAGGUCCCAAAGUCACAGUUAAGUGGGAAACGAUGUGGGAAGGCACAGACAGCCAGGAUGUUGGCUUAGAAGCAGCCAUCAUUUAAAGAAAGCGUAAUAGCUCACUGGUCGAGUCGGCCUGCGCGGAAGAUGUAACGGGGCUAAACUGUGCACCGAAGCUGCGGCAGCGACACUAUGUGUUGUUGGGUAGGGGAGCGUUCUGUAAGCCUGCGAAGGUGGCCUGUGAGGGUUGCUGGAGGUAUCAGAAGUGCGAAUGCUGACAUAAGUAACGAUAAUGCGGGUGAAAAGCCCGCACGCCGGAAGACCAAGGGUUCCUGUCCAACGUUAAUCGGGGCAGGGUGAGUCGACCCCUAAGGCGAGGCCGAAAGGCGUAGUCGAUGGGAAACAGGUUAAUAUUCCUGUACUUGGUGUUACUGCGAAGGGGGGACGGAGAAGGCUAUGUUAGCCGGGCGACGGUUGUCCCGGUUUAAGCAUGUAGGCGGAGGUUCCAGGUAAAUCCGGUACCUUUUAACGCUGAGGUGUGAUGACGAGGCACUACGGUGCUGAAGUAACAAAUGCCCUGCUUCCAGGAAAAGCCUCUAAGCAUCAGGUAACAUUAAAUCGUACCCCAAACCGACACAGGUGGUCAGGUAGAGAAUACCAAGGCGCUUGAGAGAACUCGGGUGAAGGAACUAGGCAAAAUGGUGCCGUAACUUCGGGAGAAGGCACGCUGAUAUGUAGGUGAAGCCCCUGCGGGUGGAGCUGAAAUCAGUCGAAGAUACCAGCUGGCUGCAACUGUUUAUUAAAAACACAGCACUGUGCAAACACGAAAGUGGACGUAUACGGUGUGACGCCUGCCCGGUGCCGGAAGGUUAAUUGAUGGGGUUAUCCGUAAGGAGAAGCUCUUGAUCGAAGCCCCGGUAAACGGCGGCCGUAACUAUAACGGUCCUAAGGUAGCGAAAUUCCUUGUCGGGUAAGUUCCGACCUGCACGAAUGGCGUAAUGAUGGCCAGGCUGUCUCCACCCGAGACUCAGUGAAAUUGAACUCGCUGUGAAGAUGCAGUGUACCCGCGGCAAGACGGAAAGACCCCGUGAACCUUUACUAUAGCUUGACACUGAACAUUGAGCCUUGAUGUGUAGGAUAGGUGGGAGGCUUUGAAGCGUGGACGCCAGUCUGCGUGGAGCCAACCUUGAAAUACCACCCUUUAAUGUUUGAUGUUCUAACGUUGGCCCCUGACCGGGGUUGCGGACAGUGUCUGGUGGGUAGUUUGACUGGGGCGGUCUCCUCCCAAAGAGUAACGGAGGAGCACGAAGGUUAGCUAAUCCUGGUCGGACAUCAGGAGGUUAGUGCAAUGGCAUAAGCUAGCUUGACUGCGAGCGUGACGGCGCGAGCAGGUGCGAAAGCAGGUCAUAGUGAUCCGGUGGUUCUGAAUGGAAGGGCCAUCGCUCAACGGAUAAAAGGUACUCCGGGGAUAACAGGCUGAUACCGCCCAAGAGUUCAUAUCGACGGCGGUGUUUGGCACCUCGAUGUCGGCUCAUCACAUCCUGGGGCUGAAGUAGGUCCCAAGGGUAUGGCUGUUCGCCAUUUAAAGUGGUACGCGAGCUGGGUUUAGAACGUCGUGAGACAGUUCGGUCCCUAUCUGCCGUGGGCGCUGGAGAAUUGAGGGGGGCUGCUCCUAGUACGAGAGGACCGGAGUGGACGCAUCACUGGUGUUCGGGUUGUCAUGCCAAUGGCAUUGCCCGGUAGCUAAAUGCGGAAGAGAUAAGUGCUGAAAGCAUCUAAGCACGAAACUUGCCCCGAGAUGAGUUCUCCCUGAGACUUUAAGUCUCCUGAAGGAACGUUAAAGACGAUGACGUUGAUAGGUCGGGUGUGUAAGCGUAGCGAUACGUUGAGCUAACCGAUACUAAUGAACCGUGAGGCUUAACCUUACAACGCCGAAGGUGUUU